Molecule: transfer RNA, 84 nt
Filed under: Ruminococcus sp.
Lineage: Bacteria; Bacillati; Bacillota; Clostridia; Eubacteriales; Oscillospiraceae
Also listed under: 2 other names
Description: tRNA-Leu
Rfam family: tRNA
About the family: Transfer RNA (tRNA) molecules are approximately 80 nucleotides in length. Their secondary structure includes four short double-helical elements and three loops (D, anti-codon, and T loops). Further hydrogen bonds mediate the characteristic L-shaped molecular structure. tRNAs have two regions of fundamental functional importance: the anti-codon, which is responsible for specific mRNA codon recognition, and the 3' end, to which the tRNAs corresponding amino acid is attached (by aminoacyl-tRNA synthetases). tRNAs cope with the degeneracy of the genetic code in two manners: having more than one tRNA (with a specific anti-codon) for a particular amino acid; and 'wobble' base-pairing, i.e. permitting non-standard base-pairing at the 3rd anti-codon position.
Source: RNAcentral
GCCGCUGUGGCGGAAUUGGCAGACGCAGCAGACUCAAAAUCUGCCGCCAGCGAUGGUGUACCGGUUCAAGUCCGGUCAGCGGCA